RNAcentral lists this unclassified non-coding RNA (201 nucleotides) under Hevea brasiliensis (rubber tree). The record is from RNAcentral. Lineage: Eukaryota; Viridiplantae; Streptophyta; Magnoliopsida; Malpighiales; Euphorbiaceae.
AUAAUAGAAGACUUGAAUUAAAAUCAACCAUGUUUUCUUACAACUCAAAUUUGAAGGGCUUUGUUUGAUAGCAAGUUUUAGUUUCACUACUUUCAGAAAUUUUGAAGACUUCUAACGGAGUGAAAGUAAUUACACUCUUAUAAAAGACAAUAAGCAUGUUCGAAUGCAACAAUUUUCAGUGAUAAUAAAAACUGCUUUGGU